UACGUAGGGGGCAAGCGUUAUCCGGAAUUAUUGGGUUUAAAGGGUGCGUAGGCGGGCUGUUAAGUCAGCGGUCAAAUGUCGGGGCUCAACCCCGGCCUGCCGUUGAAACUGGCGGCCUCGAGUGGGCGAGAAGUAUGCGGAAUGCGUGGUGUAGCGGUGAAAUGCAUAGAUAUCACGCAGAACUCCGAUUGCGAAGGCAGCUUACUAAGCCAUAACUGACACUGAAGCACGAAAGCGUGGGGAUCAAACAGG
This 252-nucleotide ribosomal RNA is filed under the name uncultured Bacteroidales bacterium. RNAcentral's name for it is "partial 16S ribosomal RNA". It matches the Rfam family "Bacterial small subunit ribosomal RNA", at positions 524 to 776 of the family's 1533-position model. Lineage: Bacteria; Pseudomonadati; Bacteroidota; Bacteroidia; Bacteroidales. The record is from RNAcentral.